ACUCCUACGGGAGGCAGCAGUGGGGAAUUUUCCGCAAUGGGCGCAAGCCUGACGGAGCAACGCCGCGUGAGGGAUGAAGGCCUCUGGGCUGUAAACCUCUUUUAUCAAGGAAGAAGAUCUGACGGUACUUGAUGAAUAAGCCACGACUAAUUCCGUGCCAGCAGCCGCGGUAAUAC
Molecule: ribosomal RNA, 176 nt
Filed under: uncultured bacterium
Lineage: Bacteria
Description: partial 16S ribosomal RNA
Rfam family: Bacterial small subunit ribosomal RNA
Source: RNAcentral